CGACGAUUUCCGGUUGAUCCUGCCAGAGGCCACUGCUAUCGGAGUUCGAUUAAGCCAUGCGAGUCGAGAGGUGCAAGACCUCGGCAUACUGCUCAGUAACACGUGGACAAUCUAACCUAUGGAAGGGGAUAACCCCGGGAAACUGGGGAUAAUACCCUAUAGACUAUGGAUGCUGGAAUGCUUUGUAGUCGAAAGGUCCGCCGCCAUAGGAUGGGUCUGCGGCCGAUUAGGUUGUUGUUGGGGUAACGGCCCAACAAGCCUGUAAUCGGUACGGGUUGUGGGAGCAAGAGCCCGGAGAUGGAUUCUGAGACACGAAUCCAGGCCCUACGGGGCGCAGCAGGCGCGAAAACUUUGCAAUGCGGGAAACCGUGACAGGGGAACUCCGAGUGCCCGCAAAAUCGGGCUGUCCAUCAGUGUAAAUAACUGGUGAAGAAAGGGCCGGGCAAGACCGGUGCCAGCCGCCGCGGUAAUACCGGCGGCUCGAGUGGUGGCCACUAUUACUGGGCUUAAAGCGUUCGUAGCUGGUUUGUUAAGUCUCUGGGGAAAUCUUCCGGC
This 555-nucleotide ribosomal RNA is filed under the name uncultured archaeon. RNAcentral describes it as "bacterial SSU rRNA". It matches the Rfam family "Archaeal small subunit ribosomal RNA", at positions 1 to 558 of the family's 1478-position model. The record is from RNAcentral.